ACCUAUUGCAAAGGCUUUUGAAACUUCAAUGCUGUAUUUUUGAGUUGUACGGUUCUUUUGAUAAUAUCAGAAGCAAAAGAGAGAGAGAGAGAAGGGAAAUGGACGAAACAAAGGAAGUAAGCAGAUGAAAUUACUCAGGAAUCAUUUGAACGGAUGAUUUUUCGAGAAGGGAGAGAAAUCUUUGGUUCACGCGGUAACGAUGAACAAAAAAAAUGGUCAGGGGAAAUUAAAAGGGGGAACCACUUUCUCUGGUGUUAUACUCUCUGUUUU
This 270-nucleotide long non-coding RNA is filed under the name Nicotiana benthamiana. RNAcentral's name for it is "long non-coding RNA (NBEN_LNC007039)". Lineage: Eukaryota; Viridiplantae; Streptophyta; Magnoliopsida; Solanales; Solanaceae. The record is from RNAcentral.